Molecule: ribosomal RNA, 710 nt
Filed under: uncultured Providencia sp.
Lineage: Bacteria; Pseudomonadati; Pseudomonadota; Gammaproteobacteria; Enterobacterales; Morganellaceae
Description: bacterial SSU rRNA
Rfam family: Bacterial small subunit ribosomal RNA
Source: RNAcentral
AGUCACGCUGUAAACGAUGUCGAUUUGGAGGUUGUUCCCUUGAGGAGUGGCUUCCGGAGCUAACGCGUUAAAUCGACCGCGUGGGGAGUACGGCCGCAAGGUUAAAACUCAAAUGAAUUGACGGGGGCCCGCACAAGCGGUGGAGCAUGUGGUUUAAUUCGAUGCAACGCGAAGAACCUUACCUACUCUUGACAUCCAGAGAAUUUAGCAGAGAUGCUUUAGUGCCUUCGGGAACUCUGAGACAGGUGCUGCAUGGCUGUCGUCAGCUCGUGUUGUGAAAUGUUGGGUUAAGUCCCGCAACGAGCGCAACCCUUAUCCUUUGUUGCCAGCACAUUAUGGUGGGAACUCAAAGGAGACUGCCGGUGAUAAACCGGAGGAAGGUGGGGAUGACGUCAAGUCAUCAUGGCCCUUACGAGUAGGGCUACACACGUGCUACAAUGGCGUAUACAAAGAGAAGCGACCUCGCGAGAGCAAGCGGAACUCAUAAAGUACGUCGUAGUCCGGAUUGGAGUCUGCAACUCGACUCCAUGAAGUCGGAAUCGCUAGUAAUCGUAGAUCAGAAUGCUACGGUGAAUACGUUCCCGGGCCUUGUACACACCGCCCGUCACACCAUGGGAGUGGGUUGCAAAAGAAGUAGGUAGCUUAACCUUCGGGAGGGCGCUUACCACUUUGUGAUUCAUGACUGGGGUGAAGUCGUAACAAGGUAACCA